GAACGGGUGAGUAACACGUGGGCAAUCUGCCCUUCACUCUGGGACAAGCCCUGGAAACGGGGUCUAAUACCGGAUACCACUCUCGCAGGCAUCUGUGAGGGUUGAAAGCUCCGGCGGUGAAGGAUGAGCCCGCGGCCUAUCAGCUUGUUGGUGAGGUAACGGCUCACCAAGGCGACGACGGGUAGCCGGCCUGAGAGGGCGACCGGCCACACUGGGACUGAGACACGGCCCAGACUCCUACGGGAGGCAGCAGUGGGGAAUAUUGCACAAUGGGCGAAAGCCUGAUGCAGCGACGCCGCGUGAGGGAUGACGGCCUUCGGGUUGUAAACCUCUUUCAGCAGGGAAGAAGCGAAAGUGACGGUACCUGCAGAAGAAGCGCCGGCUAACUACGUGCCAGCAGCCGCGGUAAUACGUAGGGCGCAAGCGUUGUCCGGAAUUAUUGGGCGUAAAGAGCUCGUAGGCGGCUUGUCACGUCGGGUGUGAAAGCCCGGGGCUUAACCCCGGGUCUGCAUUCGAUACGGGCUAGCUAGAGUGUGGUAGGGGAGAUCGGAAUUCCUGGUGUAGCGGUGAAAUGCGCAGAUAUCAGGAGGAACACCGGUGGCGAAGGCGGAUCUCUGGGCCAUUACUGACGCUGAGGAGCGAAA
This 644-nucleotide ribosomal RNA is filed under the name Streptomyces sp. 4121_4. RNAcentral describes it as "bacterial SSU rRNA". It matches the Rfam family "Bacterial small subunit ribosomal RNA", at positions 100 to 758 of the family's 1533-position model. Lineage: Bacteria; Bacillati; Actinomycetota; Actinomycetes; Kitasatosporales; Streptomycetaceae. The record is from RNAcentral.